Molecule: long non-coding RNA, 3196 nt
Organism: Xiphophorus couchianus (Monterrey platyfish)
Lineage: Eukaryota; Metazoa; Chordata; Actinopteri; Cyprinodontiformes; Poeciliidae
Exons: 2
Source: RefSeq, a predicted model, not a curated record
AUUGAAAAAAAAGGGAGGAUGUUGCACAUUUAUUAAACUUCAGUAAAUGUCCAACUGAAGCAAUAUGCAUUUGAAACCUACUGUAAAAUUUUAGCUUUCUAUCAGAACUACAAUACAUCAAGCCCCUUAACUUUUUUCUACAUUUUGUAUAUUAUUUUACAUUUCAAGAAAUUUGAUUAUUAUGAAAAGGUUCUAUGUAUUUUUGUCACUGAGUGUGUGUACAGUGAAAUAUUUUAAGCAUCUCUUGUAAAUUUGUUGGUUAUGGCUUAUAAAAAACAAAACCUCAAACCACAAGUAGACUUUUACGUAAAGUAAAAACAGAAUAUUUUCAACAAAAAUGUCAGGGUUCUGGUAAGCAUGUUUAUUUCUGCCUACUAAAUCCUUUAUAGGGCCUUCUUCUAUGGCAUGGCAUUGAUGCAAUCUGUCUACGGCAUAACUGAGGUGAAAUGAACGCCAGGCUAAUGGCCUGCAUUGCUGGGUCUGGUCUCGCUAAUCUUUCUUUGUCAAAUUCAGGACAAGCCAGUUUGCUGGCAAAUGAAGAACAGUGACACCAAGAUAAUUUAGCCAGUUUUUAGAACCUUUUGGUAAGUUCUACUGGAAACUUAAAUCAGCAGAAGGAAUCAUAGAGCGAUGUAAAAUGACCUGGUAGAUGGCUUCAUUGAUUGGGUUAGAGUAGCUCAAAAGAUAAGUUCUACCCAUGAAUUCAGAGCUCCGAAUACAAAUAAAUUCUCUGGGGAAAGUGGCGGUCACAAGGGUCUUUUACUUCAGUGCGCCCCAAUCAUUUCCCCAUGACAAUUCUAAAAUCUCUUUUAUUACAGGUGUUACGUCAAUCUGCGUUUGCCCAUCAGAUACGGUUCCCCCUAGUAAUCAAUUUCAACUCCAUUUAUGCAUAACUUUACAUUAUUAUAGAUCUGAUUACCAGAAAAUGCCAUGAGUUGUGAGAUGAUCAUUAGUUUUUUCUUGAUAACUUACUCUAAUCAAACUAUGUUUUCAACUCAGCUAGCUCUUCUUCUACUUUUUAUUAUUUCAUCCAUAUUUUUUUCCAGAGAAAAAGAAAUUUGUAUCAUCAGCAAACAUUAUAAACUUCAAAAUACUGGAUACUGCAAAAAUAUAAUUUAAAUAAAGUAUAAAUAAUUUAGGUCCUAGAACUGAGCCUUGAGGAAGACCACAUUUUACAAUUUCAAUUUGUGACCUUGUGUUAUUAAUUUGUGCAUAUUGCAAUCUAUUACUCAAGUAACUCUUUAACCACUGAUAUGUAACCCCCUGUAGGCCAUACAGUUCGUACCAGGUCAAAUGUAUCAAAUGCUUUGCAUAGAUCAAUACUGUAUUAAGCUUCUGGUCAAUUGCUGCAGCAACAUUUUCCACAAAUUCCAUCACAGCUAAAGUUGUGGAGCAGUUAUUUCUGAAACCGUACUGGUGCUCGUUCAGUAUAUUAUUUUUGUUAAGAAAGGAGUCCAGCCGUUUUAUGAAUAUUUUUUCCAAAAUUUUUGAAAAUAACGGUAGCAAUGAUAUCGGACUGUAAUUUGUUCAUAUUUGCUUGUCACUACUUUUAUGGACUGGAAAAACCUUUGCUAUCUUCAUUUUGUCAGGAAAAGUUCCAGAAGCAGAUCAUGUUUUUCUCUAAGUUUAAUUUCCAUUUCAUAUAGACUAGGUUCUAAGAACACCAAACCCUCUUGACUGUGCUGAAGAGACCCUGGCUUUCAUUUAACCCCCCAGCUGUAUAGUUGGUACGGUCACAUGGGAGAUAAAGGACAUUGUAAAUCAAGCCUUACAGAAUGAACCUGACCCAGGUAACAGUCCUUCCAAUAGGACUUAUGUUCCCACUUCCGCCCGUUCUCGUCUUAUUCACUGGUUAAAUUCCACAAAGUUUUCUGCCCACCCAGGUAUUAGCAGAACCAUUCCACUUAUCUCUUGUCGCUUCUGGUGACUGUCCUUACAUAAAGACAUUAAGGAGUUUGUCUUUGCCUCUCAAGUCUGUGCUCGUAAUAAACCUUCUCUUCAACCACCUGCAGAUCCGCUCCACCCCAGCAUCCUUGGUUCCACAUCGCCAUAGAUUUUAUUACCGGACUCCCCACAUCCCAAGGUAUGACCACAAUUCUUUUUUUUUUUAACUUUAUUUUUGUUAUUUUAGCAGUUUUAUAGAUACACAUACAUACAUUGAACAGUUAGACCCCCCUCUAAUAAAAAUUACAGAGCACCUCAUGUGACAGAAGAAGUUGAGUAAUAAUCAACAAAAAUAAAAAAAAUAUGAAAAUAGGUAAUUACAUUAAUUAUAAGGUUGGUGUCAAGCUAUGAUGAGUGAUCCAUUUCUUCCAGUAUUUAUUGUAUUUCUAAGUGGCAAGUCUUAAUGAAAAAGUCAGUCUCUCCAUUACGUGGAUUUCCUCAAUUAUGUCCUUCCAGUCCAAACAUGACGGUGAUUCCACAUCAAGCCACCUGCGAGUUAUAGCCUUCUUUGUACCUGCUAAUAAUAUUAGUAGGAGAUAUCUAUCAGACUUCUUCAGUUCCUGGGGUAAAUUACCCAGGAAAACCACAGUAAAAUCACAGCGUAAAUUUAAGUCCAUUUUAGUAUUGAUUUCUUUUAUCACUUCUGACCAAUAGGAUGCAAUCUUAAUACAUCCCCAGAAGACAUAAAAAUGUCCUGCAGACACAUUUCCACAAUUCCUCCAACAUUUUGCCUUUUCAGUAUCGUUACAAUAUUUACUUUUAAUGUUAGGUGUAACAAAAAAACGCACCAUACAUUUCCAGGAAAAUUCCUUCCACAGGCCAGAACUUGACGUGUGAAUCACAGAAUUGCAUAUAUUUAACCAAACAUGGUCAGUUAUUGUUAUUGUGGCCUCUUUUUCCCAUUUAACCUUAAUAUAUGUUGUAUUACAUUUUCUCUCCGUAACAGGAGUAACAGGAGUAUGGUUUGGAUAUUGUUUUUUUGAGAGGUCUUCUGUUGCUCGAAUCUAAUAGGAUUUUAAGUAUACCUGUCUCGUCCUCCUCCAAAAAUUUUAUACUUUUAUUGUAGUAGUGUCUUAGCUGGAGGUGUCUAAAAAAAAAGUCACAUUUUUCCAUGUUAUAGUUAUCUUGAAGUUGUUUAAAACUUUUUAAUUCACUAUUCUUUGUAAUCUUCCAGUAACUUGUUAUACCUUUUUGUGGCCACUGUGUAAAUCUCUUAUCCAUUCUUGCAGGGAGAAAAUCUCUAUCAUAAGCA